This 655-nucleotide ribosomal RNA is filed under the name Entomophthora sp. Its description in RNAcentral is "partial large subunit ribosomal RNA". It matches the Rfam family "Eukaryotic large subunit ribosomal RNA", at positions 44 to 652 of the family's 3401-position model. Lineage: Eukaryota; Fungi; Entomophthoromycota; Entomophthoromycetes; Entomophthorales; Entomophthoraceae. The record is from RNAcentral.
UAAUAAGCGGAGGAAAAGAAACUAACAAGGAUUCCCGUAGUAAUGGCGAAUGAACUGGGAAAGGCUCAAAUUUAAAAUCACUCUGUGAAUUGUAGUUUAAAGGAAAUUAGUCUCACAGCAAUCGCUAGUUAAGUAUUCUGGAAUGGAUCGUCAAGGAGGGUGAAAUUCCCGUAUACACUAGAUAGAAAGCUGCAAAGAACUAUUAUCCUAUGAGUCGUGUUGCUUGUUAAUGCAGCAUUAAUUGGGAGGUAAAUUCCUUCUAAGGCUAAAUAUAAGAGAGAGACCGAUAGCAAACAAGUACCGUGAGGGAAAGAUGAAAGAGAACCCUGAAAAGGGGACUCAAAAGAAUGUGAAAUUGUCAAAAGGUAAGCGCUAAGAAUUGUUCGGAAUCCCAAAUAUAAUUUUUCAGGGUUUACUCUGUAGUUUAAUUUGGGGUGGCUAUAGCUUUUGUUUUGACUAUCAAGAAUUUUGGGAUAGAGAUUGUAGGCCUCGGCUUACCUUUUCUUGAACUUGACAAUUGACUGUUGGAGCAGGAGUAAAAGUCUCGCAAAGGUGUUGAUGGAGGGCACUUUCUCUUAUAGGCUUGCCUAGAGGAGUCAGGAACUUUAUCUUCUUUUUAUGAGUUCUUAUAGUUAGAAGGUUCUAAGCGUCCCGU